RNAcentral lists this transfer RNA (74 nucleotides) under Fukomys damarensis (Damara mole-rat). It matches the Rfam family "tRNA". Rfam says of the family: Transfer RNA (tRNA) molecules are approximately 80 nucleotides in length. Their secondary structure includes four short double-helical elements and three loops (D, anti-codon, and T loops). Further hydrogen bonds mediate the characteristic L-shaped molecular structure. tRNAs have two regions of fundamental functional importance: the anti-codon, which is responsible for specific mRNA codon recognition, and the 3' end, to which the tRNAs corresponding amino acid is attached (by aminoacyl-tRNA synthetases). tRNAs cope with the degeneracy of the genetic code in two manners: having more than one tRNA (with a specific anti-codon) for a particular amino acid; and 'wobble' base-pairing, i.e. permitting non-standard base-pairing at the 3rd anti-codon position. Lineage: Eukaryota; Metazoa; Chordata; Mammalia; Rodentia; Bathyergidae. The record is from Rfam by way of RNAcentral.
GGAGGUGUAGCUCAGUGGUAUAGUUCUUCCCUAGUAUGGUCAAGGGGCCCUGGGUUUAAACCCCAGCACUGCUG